Molecule: long non-coding RNA, 19322 nt
Filed under: Setaria italica (foxtail millet)
Lineage: Eukaryota; Viridiplantae; Streptophyta; Magnoliopsida; Poales; Poaceae
Description: long non-coding RNA (SITA_LNC006164)
Source: RNAcentral
UUAAGCUUUACCACAGCAUUAUUAAGUGCAAAUAAUUUCCUCACUGGACCUCGUUUAGUUUUGACAAAAUUCUGAGUUGACUUAUUUUAUCCACAGACUUGCCAAUUCAGCUGCCCCCGAGCUAUUUUAGUUUAAUCAUUAAACCAUUAGCAGUGGUCUAGUUUGCUUAAUUUUCUUGUAGCUGGUACAUGAACAACAUUAGAGCUUUCUUCAGUCCUUAAACCACUAUUUCUGACUAAUAACUUGGCAUAUGUGUAGGUAUUUUGUUGUUGUUGAUGACAUAUGGGAUAUAUCAGUUUGGAAAAUGAUUAGAUGUGCUUUGCCUGAUAAUGAUGUUGGAUACACUAUUAUUACAACCACCCGUAUUUCUCAUGUUGCUGAACAAGCUGGGGGUGCUUACAACAUGAAACCUCUUUCUUUGAAUAACUCCCGAAAACUACUAUAUAGAAGAAUAUUUGGUAGUGGGAAUAAAGACAACAAUGAAACAGAAGAAAAAUGUCAUAAGGAGAUGGCCGAAGUAUCUGACAGAAUACUGAAAAAAUGUGCUGGUGUGCCAUUGGCUAUAAUUACGAUGGCUAGUUUACUAGCUUGCAAAGCAAGAAAUAAAAUGGAGUGGUAUGAGGUGUACAAUUCUGUUGGUACUGGUCUGGAAAACAAUCUAGAUGUGGAGAAUAUGAGAAAGAUUUUAUCAUUUAGCUAUUAUGAGCUACCAUGCUAUUUAAGGGCUUGUUUGUUAUAUUUGAGCAUGUUUCCUGAAGAUUAUGAAAUUGGGAAGGAUCGUUUGAUAAGGAUGUGGAUAGGUGAAGGUUUUAUCCAAUGUGAAAAAGUAGGGAAGAGCCUAUUUGAACUCGGAGAGAGUUAUUUUAAUGAGCUUAUAAACAGAAGCAUGAUCCAACCAAUAUAUGAUAGUAAAAAUGAUAUGAUAUCAAGCUGUCGUGUACAUGAUAUGGUGCUUGAUCUUAUCCGCUCCUUGUCAAGUGAAGAAAACUUUGUUACUAUACUAAGUAAUAUGGGAGGCACAUCUCCAUCAAAUACGAUUCGGAGGUUGUCCCUUCAGAAUGGUCAGGAAAGUCAUGUGAUGGCUCAAGCUACAUGGAGCUUGCAACAUACAAGGUCAGUUUUUGUCUUUCCAACUUCUAUUUCUCCAGUGCUACCUCUUGACUACUGCCGAGUUUUACGUGUUCUGGAUUUAGAAGGCUGCAAUCUUUCACAAGCUAAUAGUAUCCUUAAGUGCCUUGGGAAUAUACAUCACUUGAGGUACUUGGGACUUCGUCGGACAGGUAUUUCUCAGCUCCCAGAAGAAAUAGGAAACCUGCAGUUUCUACAAAUAUUGGAUGUAAGGCGCAACAAUAUUUUCAGGUUGGCUUCGAGAGUUGUCCAGCUAAGAAAGUUGAUGUACCUAUACAUUGACCGGUCUACAACAGUUCCAAACGGAAUUGGAAAUCUGACAUGCCUUGAACAGCUGUCAUGGUUACGCAUUAAUGACUCCACUAGAAACAUUAUACAAGAGUUGGGCCAGCUAACUGAACUGAGGCAGUUGUCCAUUGAAUUGGACAAGUGGAACGACAAGCUGUUGGAGUGCCUAUGCAAGCUACAAAAGAUGCAGGAACUAGUUAUCACGGUCCGUCAUGGUCAACGCAGCAUCGGCAGAUUGGAUGCUUGGGUCGCCCCUCGACAUCUCCGCGUAUUUCAAUCACCAGACAACUGUUGGUUUUCAACACUGCCAGCUUGGGUGAAUCCAUCGCUUCUUCCGGACCUGACCUUCCUAUCCAUCGACGUGAGGGAGCUACAUCAGGUUGAUCUCGAAAUCCUCGGGAGGUUGCCAGCUCUCCGCUUUCUUUCUCUGAAGAUGGACAACAAGAACCUUGGUAUCCUUGCAGGAUUCGUUGUUGGUGCUGGUGCAUUCCCGUGCCUUGUAACCUGUUACUUCUGUCAAUUUGUGUGGCCAGUGGUAUUUCAACAGGGAGCUAUGCCAAGGGUCAGAGAGCUUGUGAUCUGGCGGUUUUAUCUGCGGGAGGCAAGAGGAAUUGCCUGCACCGAUGGUAGUCUCGACUUGGGCAUGGGAAACCUGCCGUCGCUGCAAUAUGUCAAGGCUGACCUGCGAUGUGAUGGUGCUGGCAAGGAGGAGGCAGAGCAAGCCAAGGCUGCGCUGACGCAUGCAGCUCAAAUGCAUCCCAAUCAUCCCUUACAUUUGAUCCAUAUUACAGGUGCGCCAGCUCCUGAUUGUUAUUCCUUACUUCUCUCCUUCCCCUUUCUUCUAAACUGUAUUUGCGUUUAUUCCUCUGUUUGAGAUGGUCGAUCUCCAGCUGAUCUUUCACCACGCCUUUCUUCUAGCCCCUAUGCCUCAACUCUUCUAAUCUUCCUUUGGUAUAUUUCGGUCUGAUAUACAGAUCACGACUACUAUAAGACACUAUGCCGGAAGCUGGACCGGAGCAGAGCAGAUGUUUCGCCACGCAUGCAGAGGUUAAACUGCUCGGCCUUAGCUUUACCAGACACCCUCAACCUGCGAGUAAACAAUGAAUACUGCACACAUGCGUCUGUGACUUAGAGCUUUGAUCAUUUGUGCUGUAAUCCCUGACUAACUUCCCCCUCUGUUACAACUUACAAGAACUGUAAAGAAAAAAUAGAAACGCAGUUAACAUCACAUACAAUGAAUCACAUCCCAUCAACAGAUAUUUGUCUAAGCUUCUCUUCAUCUCCACUACGGCAUUGCACCCCGCAGCCUUCUACACACGACGUCUAUGUUUUUUGUCGUGUGAUUCUAUAAUGGAUGAAGAACUGGUUACAGGUGAUCCUCGGAAGGUCACUUGACCUUUUCCUUAAGGCCCGUCGAAUGAAUUUGUCCGCGUGCUCCCUCGACCACGCGUCCACGUCCAUCCCGGCCGGCGAUCACCAGUCAUAAUAAGCUGAUUAGGCUGAUAGCUAUAUGAUUGAAGCAGCGGCAGCACAAACUCGGGUGUGGGACGGACUCUGUUAUCGAGCGUCAAGCAUCAUCGUUUACAUGUUGUUCAGAAUUCAGUCAUAUGGUUCAGUUCACUUCUUGGUUGUCAGGUAUUUCAGGGAGCCAAAAGCUGACUAGACUCACUGAUGAAACAUGCAUGCAUAGUGCCAUUGGUUCACUGAUAGAGAACUCACCUUCCAUGCGCUCCCUUUUAUCCCGGUUUAAAGUUGAUCCGGGACAAAGGGGGACGCCAUGGUAGGUUCAAAUGGGGCGGAGCUUUAGUUCCGGUUGGUAUUUUCAACCAGGACUAAAGCUCCCCUUUCCUUUAGUCCCGGUUGUAACGGCUAGUUACCAACCACCGAUGGCGCCCCCCUUUUAUCCUAGUUGGCUUCCAACCGGGACAAAAGUGCCACCCUUUUGUCCCGGUUGGAGUUACCAACCGGAACAUUCCAACGGGGAUAAAAGGGUGAAGCUUUUAUCCCGGUUGGAAGCUCCAACCGAGAUAAAAACUCAUCCCCUAUAAAAUCGCAAGACAGAGACCUUUCUUCCUCCUCCAUCCCGAGCCACUCCACUCCACAAAGACAAAGGGCUCAUCCUGUCCAUGGCGCCGAAGCAAGCCUAGGGGAGGUGCUGCCGAAUUUUUCUCGAAGCAAUGGAUGUAUAACGUGGACAGAUGGAGCAUGAAGUUUGUUGAUGGCUUGCAUUAUUUUCUCGAAGUGGUCAAAACGAACAAGCCAGAGAACGGGUUCAUAUGUUUUCCAUGCUUCCAAUGUAGUAACAAGGACUUUUACAUGCACUUGUUUAGAUACAGUUUCAUGCCUAACUAUUUGGUUUGGACCAAGCAUGGCGAAAGAAGGGUUGUAAUUGAAGAUGACAUUCCAGACUGGGCUGCAGGCCAAACUUUUGCAGAUACUACAAUAGGCGAGGUUGAUGAAGAUAAGUUUGCAGAAGACGGCCCUACUGAUGUCACACCAGAUUUUAAGGACAAAGUUAAGUGCAUUAAAUACAUGUGCGCCAGGAUCAAGUUACACACAUAUACGACAUAAGUGAAUAACAAAGACAGUGCCAUAACGAAAUAAAGAGAGUAUUAACCAUUAUUACAUGAUAAGUUACACACAUAUACGACAUAAGUGAAUAACAAAGACAGUGCCAUAACGAAAUAAAGAGAGUAUUAACCAUUAUUACAUGAUCGAAAGUCUCAAAUAAACUACAAAGUUUAAUUAUUACGCAGCGGAAGUCCAAAAGUAGCGACGGCUCCACAGGCAGCUGACUGAAGAACUAUACGCCUAGAACUCCUCGAAGUCUGGAAACUCCUCCAGAUUCACUUGGUCUGAACAGUGGUUUUGCAACGGUGAGUACACUUAUGGUUGGUAGUCAACAAGUCGUGGAGAACAGUGUAGUGUAAGGCUACCCAAGGUAUGUCUAAGGCAUAAUCAGCAUUAGCUUUUAAAUUAGUUGGUCAAGUUUUAGUAGCAUUUAACUAAGUGUAAGUUUAUACCACCCAAAAUGAAACAAGAACAUGAAUAAAAUAAUAACAUAACCAUAAAUGAAACAACAACAAUUUAAGUCCAUCAUUCGAUAAUAUUAUCAUGUGAGGGUUCAAGCCGCUCUUAACUAUGAGCACGGCUGAUCGAUCAGUUUUACACUCUGCAGAUGUUGCACAACUUUACCCACCUGUCGUGUAAAAGUUAAAAAGAACUUUGGACACAACCAUGCGGUGUCUGCAAGGCACCAUACCACACUUCCGAGGUGUGAUUGCAUAGGGACGCUACGAGGCCUUUACAAAGAUUCGCUAAUAAAAAGUAGCCCGCUAAGAUUUCCCCCCUAAUUUGCAACUGAAUUGCCUACCACUAUUAUUUAAAAAACUUAAAGUAACCCCUUAAUUUUGCAUCUAUAUUACCCACACAUGCCAUUAUUAAAAAUAACAUAAGGUAACCCUAUGUUUGAAUCAAAUAACCUUAAUUAAAAUAUACAGUAAUAUAUGAUUCUAAAUCAUCUAUAUCUUGCACUAUUGGUAUACGAUAUAAUAAUUAAGGUCUAUACACAUGAUGUGUGUCACCAUUUAUAAGGAUAUAUAAAGUGAUGAGAGUAUAGAUUUCUAUGCUAAAAUUGUAUCUCAAACUUAGGGUUCAUUAAACAAAUUUAAGCGCAUACCUGCGAUGCAAAGUGAAAAGUUAAAUAUUAUAAAUGUGGAUAAAAAUAUUAUAGAGUAAUUACUAACUAAAAUCUAUCACAAUUGGAUGAAGAUAUUAAGUAUAUAUCUCCAUAAGUAUUGUGUUCUAAUAUUUAACAAACGAGACAUAGCUUAUGGUAAUAGUUUUGUAGCAAUGUAGUCUCAUUUUUUUUCCAUUAGAGACUCUGCAUUAGUUCCCACAACACAAGCUAUAAAAAAGAGACAAAUUCUCAUAAAAAUUAAAAACAUCAAACACUAAUCAUUUAAACUCUAAUAAUCAUAGCCAUUGAUGUAUUAUAUUUUUUAAAAAGUUACCCACCACUGUCAUUGUGAAAAUAUUUAAAAAUAAGCUCUAAACCUAUUUUUAAUUUACCAAGCUUAGCUAUUAUAAAAAAUAAUUUAAAUAACCCCAUAAUCUUCAUCCAAUUUACUAAUACACAUCAUUAUAAAGAAUAACUUAAAAUGUCAUUCUAAAAUUUUAUCUAUGUUACCCGUGUAUGUCGUUAUUAAAAAUAACCUCAAGUAAACACCUAAAUCUUAAUCUAAUUAUCUUCAUGUGCAUCAUACAGAAAUAUCGAAAAGUAAACUAAUAUAUGAUUCUAAAUUAUCUAUUUAUGUCAUUGCAAUAUAAAAUACUAAGUUAAAGUAUAUACACAUGAUGAGUGCCACCGUUUAGACCAUUUAUACAUGUAUGUGAGGAAUCAAUAAAAAAUAUUGAUUUGUAUGCUAAACAUAAUGUAUGGAGGAUUGGAGGUGAGAUACAAAAUGGAAAAUGUAUGAAUAUGGAUGAAAAAAUCAAUCAGAACUGGACAAAGAUAGUUACAUAUCUAUAUAAGUAUUAUGUUGAAGUAUUAAAAAUAAGAGAGUAGUAGGUAAACAAUUUUGAUUAUUAGCUAGGAAUUUAAUUUCUAAAUAAUUUUCAAAUACAAUAGCUUCUAAAAAUAUUAGCCCGUACGGGAGCAUGGGUUGAUGGACUAGUAAUUUCUAAUAGCUAGGGUAAAAUACCAAAACACAAAAAAAUGAAAUUGUUUUCAAGAUUGGUCGACUUUUCUGUGAAUCAUUAUAUUACACGUGCCAUGUGUUUCUUCUCAGCGUGGUCUCAUGAUUUUCGACAAGCUAAACCUUACAGGUGGUCUUUUCUUAUUUCGUGUCAUAAAAAAGAAAAUAAAGAUAACGCAAGAAAAUGGAAUUAAUUCCAAGAUCGGUUGAAUUUUGUGUGAAUCAUUUACAUGCACAGAUGUGCCAUGCGUUUCUUCUUCUCAGUAACAUGGUGAUCUUCUGAUCGCUGGAGGGAUUCCUUGCUGCGUGUACACACAACACAAGACCACCAGUUCACGCAGUCACCAUUGCCAUUAGCUUGGUUCACCAGUUCACGCAUGCGCGCAACUGAUGGUGCAGGAUGACCAAGGAGGCAUGGUUUACUAGUUGCUGGGUCUUUCUUUGGGAUUUCAAACUUCAAACUACUUUUUCUCCCAAAUCAAAAAUUUAUUUUUGAAUCCGUUUGUAACACCCAAAAUUUUAGAGAAUUCAAAUUCAUUAAAACUUGCUCAAAAUAGGGUGUCAUUUAAAUUCUAGGCAUUUAAUUUCAUUUUCUUUAAUUUAAUUAAUUCAUCGUAGGAGUUAUUUGGGUGUGACACAAGGCUAUUAUAUAUACUCCCAAAGUCUUGGAUGUCACUGAGUAACAUGUAUUUCUCUUGCAAGCAGCUGUGCACAUUAGCCAGAGAACUCUGAAGUGUUGGAGGAAACCAAAUUACUAUGAUGAGUCUUGACUUGUGUAGCCAAAUGCAUCCGCCGUAACUCGGCAAGCUUGAUGGCCAUCUUCCGCCCGUUUAAAUCAUUUUUUCGCAAUUAUCUACUCUCAGCAGAGUAAACAAACCUGUUUAGCCCACAAACACUUCUACAUACGAUGGUACGUGUCAUUAUGGCGGGUGCCUUUUAUUGUAUCUAAAGUUGCAUUAAACAACGGCACCAAGCCCAUGGUAUCUAAUUGGUGCCGGCGGGUAUGAUGGAUUUCUGGUCUCACGGCUUGACGAAUAAACUGGAGGAGAAACCCGCCAUUAAGCAUUUACUCCUGCUUGUAUGGUUUGGUUAAGUUUUAGAUGCCGGUUCUUACGGAUAGGAGGGAUUCAUACUCACAUUCCUGAGGUGCUCUGAUAUCUUCAUAGGAUAAUGUUAAAUGUUACAACAUUGCAUCGAAAAUGAAGAUUUGAUGAGCGCAAGUAUGGAUGCACAUUUUCUUUUUAGAAACUAAGCAUUGCAUGUGGCGUUUUCUUGUUUCCUGUCAUAAAAAAGAAAAUAAAAAUAACAAGACAAAUUGAAAUUAAUUUCAAGAACAUUCGAAUUUUGCGUGAAUCAUCAUGUUUCACGGUCCAUGUGCUCGCAUGAUUUUUACGUGAAUUGGCAGCAUAAUUUCUAUAUAAUAGCUAGGGUAAAAUACCAAAACACGGAAAAAUGAAAUUGAUUUCAAGAUUAGUCAACUUUUCUGUGAAUCAUUAUAUUACACGUGCCAUGUGUUUCUUCGCAGCGUGGUCUCAUGAUUUUCGACAAGCUAAACCUUACAUGUGGUCUUUUCUGAUAUCGUCUCAUGAUCUAUUUUCCAUUCCGGCGGUCUGUGUGCACGGACUUCGCUGGAAGAGCAGGCCUCCGAAGCUGCGUCCUUCACCAGAGACUCUACACCCGAGGAGUAGAAGGCCGAUCAAGUUUUUAGGGAGCGCGUCUGUGUCACUGCUCAUCGUUCGUCUACGACUACUUCCUAGAGGUACAAUUGCACUGCAAACAUCUGCACGGCAUCGAGUUCUGAUCGACUACAUCGAAUAAGCUCAACUAGCAAUGUUGGGUAAUGGCGCAUCUGGUUCCUCAGGAACUGGCUCCGCCUCAGGGUACUUCCUUAUGAACUUCUUGGUUUAAUUCUUACAGUUCAUAGUAUCCAUUGCAUGCUUUAUGUUCACUGCAAAUAAAAUAGUAUGCUAUCUUUAUUGUCAUGUUUCAUUUUAUAUUCGGAUUAAACUGAACCGCAAAUUGUCUCUAAUUCCAACAUUGGCAGCAUAAUUUCUAAUAACUAGGGUAAAAUACCAAAACACGAAAAAAUGAAAUUGAUUUGAAGAUUUGUUACUUUUCUGUGAAUCAAUUACACGUGCCAUGUGUUUCUUCUCAGCGUGGUCUCAUGAUUUUCAAAAAGCUAAACCUUACAGGUGGUCUUUUCUUAUUUCGUGUCUAAAAAAGAAAAUAAAGAUAACCCAAGAAAAUGGAAUUAAUUCCAAGAUCGGUUGACUUUUGUGUGAAUCAUUUACAUGCACAGAUGUGCCAUGCAUGCGUUUCUUCUUCUCAGUAACAUGGUGAUCUUAUGAUCGCUGGAGGCACUACCGGAAACAGUAAGGUUGCCGAGUGUCUGAGGCACUCGGCAAAGGCCGAAAAACUCUCGGCAAAGAGUUCGCCGAGUGUAACACUCGGCGAACGGCACUUGGCGAACUUUCCUACGGCAAACGUGGAGUUGCCGAGUGUCGAACAUCGAGCACUCGGCAAAUAAUUUGCCGAGUGUCAAAAAGCACUCGGCAAACAUUUUCGGAAAAAAAAAAACCGCCGGCCGUCGGCCGCCGGCCACGGCCACGGCCACCACGCCGCCACCGGCUGCCUACGCCGCUGCCGCCCGCCCGCCGCCGCCCGCCCGCCGCCGCCCGCCCGCCGCCGCCCGCCGCCACGCGCCAGAUCCGGAGGGGAGAGAGGUGGGGGCCGCCGGAUCCGCGCCGGAGGGGAAGAAGGGGGCGCGGAUCCGGCCGGUGGGGAGUGAGCCGAGGAAGGAGAGGCCGGAUCCGGAGGGGAAGAAGGGGGCGGCGGCGGGCGGGGGCGGGGGCGGGGGCGGACGCCGGGCGGCGGUGGGGCCGGGGGCCGGGCACCGGGCGGCGGGGCGGGGGGCGCCGGGCGGCGGGCCGGGGAGCGCCGGGGGCGGGGGGAGAGAGCAAGAUCUGAGGAGGAGAUAGUGGCGGAAGAGAUAAGGCCGGUGCGGUGCGGGCCGGGAUAAGGCCGGCUUGCGGUUGGAAAAAAAAAACGGUCGCCGAGUGUCCUAGGGUGACACUAGGUGAACGGUUGUUUGCCGAGUGUCUACCCUAGGACACUCGGCAAAGAUAUUUUAAAAAAAAUUUAAAAAAUAUCUAACAGUUUUAAAAAAUUGUCAAAAAUUUACAUGAAAUAAUAUAUAUUCUCUAUUAACUAUACAAAAAGUUUUGUAGUCAAAUCAAAACUCAACCGUCAUUUUGACUCCAAAUCUUAUGCAAUCCUUGUCAACGUUACUAUUCUUCUUCUGAAAUGCUUCGGUUUGUAAACAUCGUACGUAAUGAAAUAUGCAAAACAUUCUCAAUUUUUUUUCCACAGCCUCCACCUAUGAUAUUAUCACAUCAUGACAAAUCUCAUGAUUUUCAGACUUUGCUUGUUUUUUUAUAAUUUAAAAAUACCACUGCCACACGUUCGUGGUCGUGUUUCCUGAACAAGAUGUUCGAAAUUUCUUGUCAUUUCAUGGGUCAGGUCUCAAAUUGGGCCGAAUAACAUGAAUAUCAUUUUUCUACUCAUUUUGUUCCAUAAUUUCAAUCAAUUGCAGUUCAAAUUUGACUUAUACCAAAAAUUUCCUUGAAAUGCAAUUAAUUAAAUAAAUAUAGCAAAUAAAUCCAAAAAUAUACCAAAUUUUAACAUGGAGUACCACAUGUUGUAUGUGGGGAGUAGAAAAAAUUUCAUGGUGAAAAGAGGAAAAAAAUUAUUUUUUUGCCGAGUGUCAAAAAAAACACUAGGCAAACCCCCCCUAUUUGCCGAGUGUUUUUUUGACACUCGGCAAACCCCUCUCUUUGCCGAGUGUUUUUUUUGACACUCGGCAAAGAGGGGGGUUUGCCGAGUGUCAAAAAUAUACUCCGCAUAAAGCGGGGUUUGCCUAAUGUUUUAUUAAAAACUCGGCAAAAAAUAGAUUUUGACCUGGCCGGGGAGUUUUUAUUUGCCACUCGGCAAAGCCCCAAUUUCCCGAGUGUAUUUUUUUUCCCGAGUGUUUUUGAGCUUGGCACUCGACAAAGAGCUUGUUUGCCGAGUGCUCGCAAAAAAACACUCGGCAAAAAAAAUACACUCGGCAAUUUUUAGCUUUCCCGUAGUGAGGGAUUCCUUGCUGCGUGUACACACAACACAAGACCACCAGUUCACGCAGUCACCAUUGCCAUUAGCGCCGUCCUUUGCGACGUGAACGCAAGACAGGGUGAUCAUGACUCAUAAGGAGGGUCAGGGUCACGGAUGUUAGUUGUAGACUUACCCACCACGUUGACGACGAAGAAUCCUUUUAAUUAUUCCAGGGUGGCAACUGGCAAAGCCCGACGAGGCUUACUAAAGCAUCCGUGUGUAUACCAUCAGUUAAUCUCAUUUCUCAAUUUCCUUCAGGUCACAUGACGUUGGCACCCGGUAAAAUGAAACACUGAUGCAUCGUGAAAAGAGCUCAUGGUUCCGGAAUGAGCAGUUUGUUGGAUGACUUGCACUGCUUACAAGAGUGUUAUGAAUAAACACUCCCAUGCCUUGGAUGCCAUUCAAAAUGUUACCAAACAUAUGUAGAGUAACCUGCGUUUCUCUUUCAAGCAGCUAUUUAUGAAGUAUUGGAGGAAACCAAAUUACAUGCUUUCACUUGUGUAGCUGAAUGCAUCCAUGACAAUUCGACGAGUCAUAUUAGCAUAUUCUUCCUUACUUCCUUACUCUGCCCUAUUGAAAUAUUUCUCUCACAGUCUGCUAAAAAAUUAGGGCCAACAAACACUUCUAUAUAAGAUGGCGCGAGCCAUAACAGUUGGUGUGGUAACUGUAUCAAAGCUUGCACUAAACGCUGGAAUUUGGCCCAUGGUGCUAAUAGUAUACAUGAUCGUGACGGGUACGGAUGGUCAUGAUGUAUUUGAGAAAAGAGCGUCUGGUUCUUGCUGACUUCGAUCGAUGGCAUGAUCAAUGACAUGAUCAAGUUUGCUACCUAGCUGGAUCUGGAUAAGAGCACAUGUGUAAUGUGGUGGUGCGGCACCAAAGUGUGGUGCUCGUUGUCAACCAAGCCAUCAAUCAUGGUUUUUUUAAAAAAAAAUGUCGGAUACAAGAACUUUUGUAUCUGUCUGACCUUGUUCAUCUUCACUAGACAUCACAACCAGCUACACAUGCAAACUAGAUAAUGCAAUCUUCUAUAUUAUUACUAAUCAGACUCAUUUUGGAGCCUCCAUGUCAACACUCAUGAGAUGCGCUAGAAAAAAAAAGAUAAAUCCUUGAAAUUCACAUAAAAAUAAAAUAUAAAAUAUGAUCACGUUUAUACAUAUAUAGUGGCAUAAGUUUAGCCACUUCUUAGUUUUCUUCGCUUCAUGUCUCACACGACAUUGCUGGCACCAAGCAAACAGAACACUGAUGACUAAUAGAUGAACAUUGUAAAGUGAACUCACGAUCCGGAGUGCACUCAUGAUAGAUGAAGGAUGCAUGAACAGUUAUUGGACGACUUGCAGCAACGGUUACAUGCUUGCAAGCUAGAUAAAUACCAAAGACUGUCAUAUAUACUCUCAUUCCUUUGCUGCCGUUCAAAUGUUACACGGUAGUAUAGUAUUAAGAGAAACUUGUGUGCAGGAUCUUUUUUUUUUGCAACUUGUAAGAACUAAGAACUAUGAACUUUGUUUGAUCUGAUCUUUGGUCAACCAUCACCUUUGGUCUGAACUUUUUUACCGGCGGCAGCACAAACUUGGGAGGGACUCUGCGGCGGAGCAUCAACCAUCACCUUUGAUCUGAUCUUCAGAGUUCAGUCAUAUAUAUAGUUCAGUUAACUUAAUGGUUAUGAGUCUGAAGGAAAACCGCAAUUAUUUUACAUUUUGAUAUCGCCAAACUCCUGCCAAAUGCCUAAUCCCUUUCAAAUGAUGAUAAAUAUUUUCAUUUCAGGGCGGCAAAAUCUGAAGAGGCUCACUGUAUAUUGUACAUUAGUGCUACUAUCAGUUCAGCACCUUCUUCAUUUCCUUGAGGUCACACCACAUUAGUACCAGCAAUCAAAACACUUACGCAUCGUCAGAUCAACUCAUGGCUGGUGAAUGAUCCAUGAACAAUUGUUGGAUGACUUUGCAUCAACGGAUGCAUGCUUAUAUUACAAGCCAGAACCAUGCUCAAGACUGUCAUACUAUCAUAUAUAUACUCCUGUGGCUUGGAUGCCAUUCAAAAAUGCUGCAAGAGGUAGAGCAACUUGUAGUUCUCUGUCGAGGUGUAAACGAGCUGUGUAUAUUGGGAGGGACCUCUGAAAUAUUGGGUUGACUACCGGAAACAGGAAAGUUACCGAGUGUAAAAUCUUUACCGAGUACUUUUUGUCGGGCACUUGGCAAACACCUCGUUUGCCGAGUGUAUAGGCGCGGACACUCGGCAUACACAAUGCACUCGGCAAACAACAGAUUUGCUGAGUGUCGUGGAAAACACACUUGGCAAAAAUCCAACCGACACUCGGCAACAAUUUGACACUCGGUAACUCUCCAGCACGUGGAUCGCACGUGCGCCGUCCGUUAGGGCAGUGUGCUGGCCAUUAGUACUUUGCGGAAUGUCCGUUACCGACACUCGGCAAAGUUAGAGGUUGCCGAGUGCUUCCUCUAGACACUCAGCAAACUUAGAGUUUUGCCGAGUGUUUUCCACCGCCACUUGGCAAACAUAGAGUUUUGCCGAGUGUUUCUGUUGGCACUCGGCAAAGACAAAACUUUCUUUUUCACAUCUGCCCUCCACACUUUUUCUACUCCUCGCAUACGACAUUUGGUACUGCAUGUUAAAAGUUGGUCUAUUUUUUGGUUUGUUUGCUAUUUUUAAUGAAUUAAUAUCAAUAAUAGGAAUUUGUUGAUUUAAGUCAAAUUUAACUGCAAGUGAUUGAAAUAAUGGAAUAAAAUUAGUGAAAAAAUCAUAUUCAUGUUAUUGAAUCCGGAUUGAGGUCUCAAUCAGGAAAUGAAAAGAAAUUUUGAACAUUUAUUUUAGAAAACAUUACCACGAACGUGUGGUUGAAUGGUUUUUAAAUUCUAAAAAAAGCAAACGAAGUGUGAAAAUUACAAGAUUUGUCAAGAUGAAGCUACUCCUGUGAGUCACUUUUCAACCAUACAAUCAAUUUAUAAUUAAACUAGAAAGUACGGGUACUAGAAACUUAUAAUAGAAAAGUGACUAAUGCAAUCUCUUUAACUUUGUGCAGAAUCAAUCGGCAGCAUCCAAUGCUUUCUUGGAGCCAUCAUCUUGGUCGCAGUGGUCACCUACACAUCCUCCUCAGUGACUUGUUUGAACGGCUAGUGUGUUAAGCAAACUUGUGAAUUACUUGUUUAGACUAGAACCUAUAUGUACUUGUGAAUGUUAUUUGUGUGCUUGUGAUGCUUGUGAUGCAAUCUAUAUGCCUGUGAUGCAAUUUAUAUGCAUGUGAUGCUUCUGUGGUUGUUAUUUGAGAGGGGUCCUUUAUAUGUAACGAAUCUGUUUUGCAGGUAGAGGAAGGACACUUUGCCGAGUGUUAACACUCGGCAAAGAGGUCAAUUUCUAUUAUUCUGGGACUACUUUGCCGAGUGUUUUUGUUACAACACUCGACAAGGCGCCAUAAAAUGCUGGCGGUAGCAGCUUCUUUGCCGAGUGCCUUGCCAACGACACUCGGCAAAGUUUAAAAGUUUGCCGAGUGUCAUGAGUACGGCACUCGGCAAAAUAUAAAUCUUCGCCGAGUGUCGAGUAGACAGCACUUGGCAACAUGGAAAUAUUCGUCGAGUGUCGGGGAGGAGGCACUCAGCAAAAUAUAAAUCUUUGCCGAGUGUUCUUCCGUCUGACACUCAGCAACAACUCCGUUACCGUGACAUUCCGUGAACACCUUUUUGCCGAGUGUUUGGUUUUGUCGAGUGUUUUUUGGCACUCGGCAAAGUCUUUGCCAAGUGCCUGACGUUUGACACUCGGUAAAGAUACUGUUUGCCGAGGAAAAAUUCGCCGAGUCCUUUUCGCCGAGUGUUACACUCGGCAAACGCUUUGCCGAGUGUUUUUAGGCUUUCGCCGAGUGCGUAGGGCACUCGGUAAACUUACUGUUUCCGUAGUGGUUAUUGGAGGUAACCAAAAUAUCAUCCUCAGCUUUGACCUGUGUGGCUUAGUUCAUUCUAGGUAACUCAGCGGGCGACGUGGGCAUAUGGCUGUGGUAUCUGGUACUUCCGCUUGUUCGGCCGUUUUAAUGGAUUCACGAUAAGUUAUCUUCUCAUGGUCUUUGUCGAGUACAACUGAUGUAAAACGUCUGACACAGUGUAUUGAAGCGGUCGAUCCUCUCUCAUUCUGAUUGAACUCUUGGAGAUAGCAUACCAGUAGCAAAAAUUCCUUCUUUUUCAAAUUGAACAGCAAAAACAAAAAUGAUACUGUGACAGAUAAAGGACUUUGCAGGAACAGAGAUAUCAUCUGUCGUUCAGUCGUGGAACCGACUCAUGAUAGAUAAAGGACAUUGCAGGAACAGAGAGGGACAGAGCCCGUCUCUGCUAACACUUGCCAACCUCUGUGCUUUGCGCUGGUCUUCUCUAGUUUAGCCAAUCUUUUUUUUUUUUGCCUGAUGCAAAACUGACUAAACUCUCGGUGAAAGAAAAAUUAAGGACUUCCACGAAGCAGGACUCUCUGGGCCUAGCACAGGCCUAAACACCAAGCUGCUGAGCCCAAAUUUAUUCCGCCAAUGUCUCCAUGAUGUGCUUCCUGGUUAGGGGUCAAGAACUGUCCUUUAUGACUUGAUCCGAUGCCUCGAUGGUGUGGUUAGCGACUUUUGCCUGACAGACUGAACUAUGUAUGAAGAGACUACAUUUUCUUUCUUUUUAAAAAUAAAAAGCUGGACUUCACAGGUGGCUUGGUUGUUGUGCCUGCGCGUAUUCCUUCGCUAGGCACCGAAUUUGCUUGCAUUCAUAGAGCUUUCACUUGUGUAGCUGAAUGCAUCCACAACGACUCGGCGAGGCAUGUGGGCAUAUUGUUCUUUACUUUUGCCUAUUCAAUCAUUUCUCUCACGAUCCACUACAAAAAUCAGAGUCAACAAGAUCGCAUGAGUGAUAAUAGCGGACAUGGUUGCUCUAUCAUAGAUUGCACUAAACACUGGAAUACGUCAUAUCUUACUAUUACUAAUUGGAGGCUCCUUUUGAAGCCUCCAGGUGAAGCCACCUAGGAUUCCUAGGUGGACACCCUAGAAAUCCUAAAAAUUCUCACAAAAAAGCAAAACAUCCAACCAUCAAUUGAUAUAUUCAAAUCAUCACAGCCAUUGGAUCUAUUAUGUUUUUAAAAAAAUUACCCACCUAUGCCAUUAUGAAAAUAGCCUAAAGUAACCCCCUAAAUCUAUAUAUAAAUUACCCACCUCUACCAUUAUAUAAAAUAAACUAAAGUAACCCCUUAAUCUUCAUCGAAAUUACCCACUUAUGACAUUAUAAAUAAUAUUUAAAAUAACUCCCUAAUUUGCAACUGAAUUGCCUACCACUAUUACUUAAAGUAACCCAUUAAAUUUGCAUCUAUAUUACCCACACAUGCCAUUAUUAAAAAUAGCAUGAGGUAACCCUACGUUUUAAUCAAAUAACCUUAAUUAAAAAUAUACAACAAUAUAUGAUUCUAAAUCGUCUAUAUCUUACACUAUUGGUAUACGAUAUAAUAAUUAAGGUCUUUACGUAUGAUGUGUGUCACCAUUUAUAAGGAUAUAAAGUGAUGAGAAUAUAAAUUUCUAUGCUAAAAUUGUAUCUCAAAAUUAGGGUUCAUUAAACAAAUUCUAGCGCAUAUCUGCGAUGCAAAGUGAAAAGUUAAAGAUUAUAAAUGUGGAUGAAAAUAUUAUAGAGUAAUUACUAACUAAAACCUAUCAUAAUUAGAUGAAGAUAUUAAGUAUAUAUCUACGUAAGUAUUAUGUUUGAAUAUGUAAGAAACGAGAGGUAGCUUAUGGUAAUAGUUUUGUAGCAAUGUAGUCUUAUUUUGUUCCAUUGGAGACUCUGCAUUAGUUCCCACGAGACAAGCUAGAAAAAAGAGAUCUAUUAUAUUUUAUAACCACGAGACAAGCUAGAAAAAAAGAGACAAAUUCUUAUAAAAAUUAAAAAACAUCAAACACCAAUUCUGUAAACUAUAAUAAUCAUAGCCAUUGAUCUAUUAUAUUUUCUAAAAAGUUACCCGACACUAUCAUUGUGAAAAUAUUCAAAAAUGAGCUCUAAACCUAUAUCUAAAUUAUCGAGCUCAGCUAUUAUAAAAAAUAAUCUAAAGUAACCCCAUAAUAUUCAUCCAAUUUGGUAAUACACAUCAUUAUAAAUCAUAACUUAAAAUGUCAUUCAAAAAUUUUAUUUAUGGUACCCACGAAUGUCGUUAUUAAAAAUAACCUAAAGUAAACACCUAAAUCUUAAUCUAAUUAUGUUCAUGUGCAUCAUACAGAAAUGUCAAAAAGUAAACUAAUAUAUGAUUCUAAAUUACCUAUUUAUGUCAUUGUUAAUAUAAAAAUACUAAGUUAAAGUAUAUACACAUGAUGAGUGCCACCAUUUGGACCAUUUAUGCAAGUAUGUGAGGAAUCAAUGAAAAAUAUUGAUUUGUAUGCUAAACAUAAUGUAUGGAGGAUUGGAGGUGUGAUACAAAAUAGAAAAAGUAUGAAUAUGGAUGAAAAAGUGCAUAGAGUAAUUAUUAAUUCAAAAUCAAUCACAACUGGAUAAAGAUAGGUAUAUAUCUAUAUAAGUAUUAUGUUGAAUUAUUGAAAAAUAAGAGAGCAGUAAUUAAACAAUUUGGAUUGUUAGCUAGAGUUUAAUUUCUAAAUAAUUUUUAAGUACAAUAGCUUUUAAAAAUAUUAGCCCGGGAGCACGGGUUGAUGGACUAGUGGUGCUAAUAGUAUACGUGUUUGUAACUGAUAUGGAUAGACAUGAUGUAUUAUUUGUUAAAAGAUCCUCUGGUUCUUGAAUAGUUGAUCAAUUACAUGAGUUUGCUACCUGGAUGUGGAUGACAACACAAGUGUAGUGUGGUGUCUAACUGUGGUGCUAGCAUGACAUGAUCAUGGUAGAUGAAUGAUCCAUGAAUAAUUGUUGCAUGACUUCCAUCAAUGAUCAAUGGAUGCAUGCAUAAAGCAACAAUACCAAAGACUAUCACACUAUCAUUUACCAUUCAAAAUGUUUCAAGAGGUAGACUUGUAGAACAACCUGUGUAUCUUGCUGUCAAGAUGUACUCUAAAGUAUUCAGCGACCAGCAAGCAUUGAGUUUGGUGGUUGUACCAGUAGGUGAGCGGUGGUGCAUUAUUACCUUCACCGUCCGCUUCCACAGAGCAUUGAGCUGGGUGGCUGCAGCAGCGACUUCGAAUCAAGGGAGCUUGGUCCGGCGACGAGCGGCGGGGAGCCUGCACCGGCGGCGACAAGGCUCCAUUGCGACCAGUACGUCCUUGCUCACGCAUUCUCGUUCUUUACAGCUACUAGGCCAGGAUCUUUUCUAGUAUUAAACUAGCCUAAGCAAGAAUACGUCUUCAACUCGAUUCGCAAGCCUGUGCACACACAUACAUGCAUCUCACUUUCUUGCGCUCAUCCAGGAGUGCUCAUCGGAGAAAUGGAGGUCAUGGCUGGGGCACUGCCAUGCGUCAUAAAAAAACUCGGUGAUAACUACUCACCGACAAGUUUAUACUACUCAAUUAACGUAUCCCAACUAAACUUUCUCCUAAACGAAGCAUUAAUUGGGUUAGUAAGCUGGCGAGAGCCGCUACGCGUCAUUCCACAUGCGAGCGGGCCCCACCAUGUGCGUCUCGUCCUCCACCUCUCACGCACCCUCUUCAACUGUCGGUGGAGCACCCUCUUCAACCUUCCCCCCGGGCAUCUGCAUCCCAUCGACCUCUGCUUCGUGCUCUUCAAUCUUCAAUCUUCUUCAUGCCCAUCCAUUCCCAAUAGGCAAUAGCUACAACCUACAAAAAGGCAGGGCGAGCACCCGCAUCCGAAGGAGCCCAAGCGGCCAUCCACAAAGAGGUAAAGAAGAUAUAUUAAUAUGAUUUCUGUCGUUAGCUUCUCUCCAAUUAACCUUACACAUUGGUCUUCCCCAGGGACAAAUCCAUGGAGAUCGUGACCGGGGCAAUUCCAAGCCUCCUGCACAAGCUCGGUGAGUUGCUAGUUGGCGAGUACAAUCUGCAAAAGGAGGUGAAGGGAGGGAUCAUCUUCCUUCAAGCUGAGCUCGAGAGCAUGCAAGGUGCCCUCGAGAAGAUCUCGAUGACACCAGCAGACAAGAUUGACGACCAGGACAAGAUCUGGGCUAGGAGAGUGAGAGAGAUGUCCUACGAUAUAGAGGACAAUAUUGACAAAUAUAUCGUGCAGUGCAAGGGGAGGAAGACGGCCGAACAGCAUAGCUUCAAGGAAGCCAUUGAUAGGACCCUCAACUGGUUCAGGCAGCCUAAGAUUCGUCGUAAGAUUGCUACAGAAAUCAGAGAGAUCAAGAGCCGUGUCAUAGAGGUGCAUGAACGGCGCCGCAGGUAUGAGGUCAGCCUUGGUGUUGAUAAGCCUGUAACUGUGGACCCUCGUUUAUUCGCUCAGUACACGGAGGUGAAAGAGCUUGUUGGAAUUGAUGAGGCAAGGGAUGAGUUAAUCAGCAAGAUUAUGAUAGAAGAGAAUGAAGUUCCCAAGAAGCAAGGCAGGAUAGUUUCAAUUGUUGGAUUUGGAGGUCUGGGAAAGACAACUCUUGCCAAUGUAGUGUACAAAAAGAUUAGAGCACAAUUUGAUUGCUAUGCUUUUGUUUCUGUUUCUCAAACUCCUGACCUGAAGAAACUGUACAAAUGCUUGCUAUAUGAUCUUGGCAAGAGCAUCAACGAAGAAACAUUGGAUGAGAGGCGACUCAUAGAAGCACUCAGAGAAUUCCUUGAAGACAAAAGGUACGAAAGCAUUCCUUUCACCAAUUUAUACAUAUGAACUUUUUUGGACUGAUAAUUUAUGCCCUCUGUUCACAGUACUAUAAGUCUAAAUAGGGUUAAUUAAAUGUUCAUGCACGUGGCACCUAUUAAAUUACAAAAUACAACCACUUAAGCUUUACCACAACAUUAUUAAGUGCAAAUAAUUUCCUCACUGGACCUCGUUUUGUUUUGACAAAAUUCUGAGUGGACUUAUUUUAUCCACAGACUUGCCAAUCCAGCUGCUCCCGAGCUAUUUUAAUUUAAUCAUUAAACCAUUAGCAGUGGUCUAGUUUGCUUAAUUUUCUUGUAGCCGGUAUAUGAACAACAUUAGAGCUUUCUUCAGUCCUUAAACCACUAUUUUUGCUAAUAAC